Molecule: small RNA, 107 nt
Filed under: Marmota monax (woodchuck)
Lineage: Eukaryota; Metazoa; Chordata; Mammalia; Rodentia; Sciuridae
Source: RNAcentral
GCUGGGUGUGGUGGUGCACACCUGUAAUUCCAGCUACUUGGGAGGCUGAGGGAGGAAGAUUUCAAAUUCAAGGCCAGCCUUAGUCACUUAGGGAGACCCUGUCUCAG